Molecule: ribosomal RNA, 303 nt
Filed under: uncultured bacterium
Lineage: Bacteria
Description: partial 16S ribosomal RNA
Rfam family: Bacterial small subunit ribosomal RNA
Source: RNAcentral
AGCAGCCGCCGCGGUAAUGCGUAGGUGGCAAGCGUUGUCCGGAAUUAUUGAGCGUAAAGGGUGCGCAGGUGGUUUAACAAGUUAGUGGUGAAAGGCAUAGGCUCAACCAAUGUAAGCCAUUAAAACUGUUUAACUUGAGUGCAGGAGAGGAAAGUGGAAUUCCUAGUGUAGCGGUGAAAUGCGUAGAUAUAUGGAGGAACACCAGUGGCGAAGGCGACUCUCUGGUCUGUAACUGACGCUGAGGCGCGAAAGCGUGGGGAGCAAACAGGAUUAGAUACCCCUGUAGUCCCUGUCUCUUAUACC